RNAcentral lists this ribosomal RNA (253 nucleotides) under uncultured bacterium. RNAcentral's name for it is "partial 16S ribosomal RNA". It matches the Rfam family "Bacterial small subunit ribosomal RNA", at positions 524 to 776 of the family's 1533-position model. The record is from RNAcentral.
UACAGAGGUCUCAAGCGUUGUUCGGAUUCACUGGGCGUAAAGGGUGCGUAGGCGGUCAGAUAAGUCUGAUGUGAAAUCUCUGGGCUUAACCCAGAAAUGGCAUUGGAUACUAUUUGGCUUGAGAGUUGGAGGGGGGACUGGAAUUCUUGGUGUAGCAGUGAAAUGCGUAGAUAUCAAGAGGAACACCAGUGGCGAAGGCGAGUCCCUGGACAACUUCUGACGCUGAGGCACGAAAGCUAGGGGAGCAAACAGG